RNAcentral lists this long non-coding RNA (974 nucleotides) under Brassica rapa (field mustard). RNAcentral describes it as "long non-coding RNA (BRAP_LNC003487)". The record is from RNAcentral. Lineage: Eukaryota; Viridiplantae; Streptophyta; Magnoliopsida; Brassicales; Brassicaceae.
UUAUAACAAUGUUUUUUGAAAGUAUGAUUUAACCAUAUAAUGCCCAAAUUGAUGCAUUUCUACGUAACAUUUGUUUUUACAACCGUAACUUUUUCUUUAAGCAUAGAGAAUAUACCGACACCUUGCGUUAUACUUCUUCAUAUGCUUCGAACCACACGUAUUUAUGUGCGUAUAUUUUGUAAAUAUGCCAUCAUGUAUAAAAUAGAUGGUGGUUUCUUUUGGAACAAGUUAGGUGUUUAAAGAAAAUGAAAAGAAAAAAGCUAACAAGCCAAGUUACAAAAAAAAAAGAAAGCUAACAAUACUUAAUUCAAAAGCUUCCCUCCCCUUUUUAAUAGAGUAGAUUCUUUAAUCUCGUUGACACUUGGGACAAUCUCCUAGCCAAAACAAAUUCUCAAUAGUGAUAAACAUGAAUGUUGAUGUCAUCUUUCAUUAAAAAGAGGUGUUUUCGUAACACAUAUAACCAAUAAUCUGCGUGAAAUAUUAAUGGACUGAGAUGGAUUUAUUUAAGGACUCUACAGAGAUGGGGAAAGAUGCGUUUCUAUAUAUAAUCUUGUGGGUUGUAUUCAGAGUAAGUGUUCUAUGAAUCUUGAAUCCAGCCUAGGAUUUUCAUUUAAAUGCAAGUGUCCUAUAAAUAUUGAAUUGUUCAUUGUCUAUCGCAGUUAUGGCUAUGAAUGCAUUUUUUUUUUGAAAAAGUCUUGCAAAUGGCUAUGAAUGAUGGUGAUAAAUACAAUAGUGGUGCUGUGCGAUUUAAACUUCUUGAAAAAAAAAUCUUCAAAAGAAAUUAGAAAACAAGUUCAUAUGGGUUUUUUUUUUGUAACUGAAUACUCUAGCAUGUUUGUUGUAAUGUGUAGAAACAUAUUGGUAUAUUUGUUUCGAUUAAUACAACUAUAUAAAAAAAUCAUCGUAGUUAUUAACCUCUUGUUGGUUUUCACAUGAAGAUCAAAACCUAGGUUUAUAUUUAACAAAAAUUAUCA